CUCCUACGGGAGGCAGCAGUGGGGAAUAUUGCACAAUGGGGGAAACCCUGAUGCAGCCAUGCCGCGUGUGUGAAGAAGGCCUUCGGGUUGUAAAGCACUUUCAGCGAGGAGGAAAGGUUGAUGCCUAAUACGUGUCAACUGUGACGUUACUCGCAGAAGAAGCACCGGCUAACUCCGUGCCAGCAGCCGCGGUAAUACGGAGGGUGCAAGCGUUAAUCGGAAUUACUGGGCGUAAAGCGCACGUAGGCGGCUUUUUAAGUCGGAUGUGAAAUCCCUGAGCUUAACUUAGGAAUUGCAUUCGAUACUGGGAAGCUAGAGUAUGGGAGAGGAUGGUAGAAUUCCAGGUGUAGCGGUGAAAUGCGUAGAGAUCUGGAGGAAUACCGAUGGCGAAGGCAGCCAUCUGGCCUAAUACUGACGCUGAGGUACGAAAGCAUGGGGAGCAAACAGGAUUAGAUACCCUGGUAGUCCAUGCCGUAAACGAUGUCUACUAGCCGUUGGGGCCUUUGAGGCUUUAGUGGCGCAGCUAACGCGAUAAGUAGACCGCCUGGGGAGUACGGUCGCAAGGUUAAAACUCAAAUGAAUUGACGGGGGCCCGCACAAGCGGUGGAGCAUGUGGUUUAAUUCGAUGCAACGCGAAGAACCUUACCUGGCCUUGACAUGUCUGGAAUCCUGUAGAGAUACGGGAGUGCCUUCGGGAAUCAGAACACAGGUGCUGCAUGGCUGUCGUCAGCUCGUGUCGUGAGAUGUUGGGUUAAGUCCUGCAACGAGCGCAACCCCUGUCACUAGUUGCCAUCAUUAAGUUGGGGACUCUAGUGAGACUGCCUACGCAAGUAGAGAGGAAGGUGGGGAUGACGUCAAAUCAUCACGGCCCUUACGCCUUGGGCCACACACGUAAUACAAUGGCCGGUACAGAGGGCAGCUACACAGCGAUGUGAUGCAAAUCUCGAAAGCCGGUCUCAGUUCGGAUUGGAGUCUGCAACUCGACUCUAUGAAGCUGGAAUCGCUAGUAAUCGCGCAUCAGCCAUGGCGCGGUGAAUACGUUCCCGGGCCUUGUACACACCGCCCGU
This 1067-nucleotide ribosomal RNA is filed under the name uncultured Pseudomonadales bacterium. RNAcentral's name for it is "bacterial SSU rRNA". It matches the Rfam family "Bacterial small subunit ribosomal RNA", at positions 336 to 1397 of the family's 1533-position model. The record is from RNAcentral. Lineage: Bacteria; Pseudomonadati; Pseudomonadota; Gammaproteobacteria; Pseudomonadales.